RNAcentral lists this ribosomal RNA (143 nucleotides) under uncultured eukaryote. RNAcentral describes it as "partial small subunit ribosomal RNA". It matches the Rfam family "Bacterial small subunit ribosomal RNA", at positions 1383 to 1525 of the family's 1533-position model. The record is from RNAcentral.
GUACACACCGCCCGUCAAGUCAUGGGAGCUGGUAGCGCCCGAAGUCGCUGUGCCAACCGCAAGGAGGCAGGUGCCGAAGGCGAAACUCCUGAUUGGGACUAAGUCGUAACAAGGUAACCGUAGGUGAACCUGCAGAAGGAUCA